This 75-nucleotide transfer RNA is filed under the name Thryssa kammalensis (Kammal thryssa). RNAcentral's name for it is "tRNA-Lys". It matches the Rfam family "tRNA". From Rfam's summary of the family: Transfer RNA (tRNA) molecules are approximately 80 nucleotides in length. Lineage: Eukaryota; Metazoa; Chordata; Actinopteri; Clupeiformes; Engraulidae. The record is from RNAcentral.
UCACUAGGAAGCUAAAAAGGUAUAGCAUCAGCCUUUUAAGCUGAAGUUUGGUGAUUCCGCCCCACCUCUAGUGAA